RNAcentral lists this ribosomal RNA (253 nucleotides) under uncultured bacterium. RNAcentral's name for it is "partial 16S ribosomal RNA". It matches the Rfam family "Bacterial small subunit ribosomal RNA", at positions 524 to 776 of the family's 1533-position model. The record is from RNAcentral.
UACGUAGGGUGCGAGCGUUGUCCGGAAUUAUUGGGCGUAAAGAGCUCGUAGGCGGCUUGUCGCGUCGACCGUGAAAACUUGGGGCUCAACCCCAAGCCUGCGGUCGAUACGGGCAGGCUCGAGUUCGGUAGGGGAGACUGGAAUUCCUGGUGUAGCGGUGAAAUGCGCAGAUAUCAGGAGGAACACCGGUGGCGAAGGCGGGUCUCUGGGCCGAUACUGACGCUGAGGAGCGAAAGCGUGGGGAGCGAACAGG